UGGGGGAUAUUGCACAAUGGGCGAAAGCCUGAUGCAGCGACGCCGCGUGGGGGAUGAAGGCUUUCGGGUUGUAAACCUCUUUCGCUAUCGAACAAGGCUCGCUUAGGGUGGGUUGAGGGUAGGUGGAGAAGAAGCGCCGGCUAACUACGUGCCAGCAGCCGCGGUAAUACGUAGGGCGCGAACGUUGUCCGGAAUUAUUGGGCGUAAAGGGCUUGUAGGCGGCUUGUUGCGCCUGCUGUGAAAACGCGGGGCUUAACUCAAAUGGUGAAGUGGGUACGGGCAGGCUUGAGUGUGGUAGGGGUGACUGGAAUUCCAGGUGUAGCAGUGGAAUGCGUAGAUAUCUGGAGGAACACCGAUGGCGAAGGCAGGCCACUGGGACAUUACUGACGCUGAGGAGCGAAAGCAUGGGUAGCGAACAGG
RNAcentral lists this ribosomal RNA (420 nucleotides) under bacterium. RNAcentral describes it as "partial 16S ribosomal RNA". It matches the Rfam family "Bacterial small subunit ribosomal RNA", at positions 355 to 776 of the family's 1533-position model. The record is from RNAcentral.